Molecule: ribosomal RNA, 146 nt
Filed under: Vibrio parahaemolyticus
Lineage: Bacteria; Pseudomonadati; Pseudomonadota; Gammaproteobacteria; Vibrionales; Vibrionaceae
Description: partial 16S ribosomal RNA
Rfam family: Bacterial small subunit ribosomal RNA
Source: RNAcentral
WGGGCGCAAGCCUGAUGCAGCCAUGCCGCGUGGUGUGAAGAAGGCCUUCGGGAUUGUAAAGCACUUUCAGAUCGUGAGGAAGGUGGUGUAGUUAAUAGCUGYAUCAUUUGACGUUAGCGACAGAAGAAGCACCGGCUAWCUCCGUG